AUCACGUACAUAGCACCCGACCCACACACACACUCAGUGACUUCCUGUUUAAACUUGGGGUGAAAACCGCUGAACCAGUUGAACUUCUCCCUCAGAGCAGCAGGACACACUCAGGAAUGACUGAAGAUGUUGACUGACAAGGAAGAGGAGGACAGAGAAGACUCUCUGUCGAUGAAGAAUGACCGGUCUAAAGGUCUUUCUUUAGUCUUCAGUACUGAACCCGGAGCCUCGGACUCACAAGAUCAGAAGUUCAGACACACAGCGCAGUCUUCAUGAUCCAGCAGGUUGUCUCUGAAGAGAGUGACCGGUCCAAAGGUUUUCCACUAAACUUCAGUGGUGAACGUGGACCUUCAGACACAGAAGAGAAGAAGAGCAGUGAUGUCUGUGAGGAGCAGCAGGACCAGGGUUCUUCAUCAGGACUGCAGCAGCUUCUAGAAGAAC
Long non-coding RNA from Salarias fasciatus (jewelled blenny), 441 nucleotides. RefSeq lists it as uncharacterized. The transcript is spliced from 4 exons. NCBI's taxonomy places the organism in Eukaryota, Metazoa, Chordata, Actinopteri, Blenniiformes, Blenniidae. The record is from RefSeq and is a predicted model, not a curated record.